GUUCGAGCGCCAUUUCUACCCUGGAGCCUUGCUCUGUGAUGGGCCCCGUCCUUGCGGACGGGCCCGAAACCCGUGGGCGCCGUUGUCCGGUCCUGAGCGUAGCAAGAGAAAUCCCUCGCUUGGAGCAUCUGACAGUGGCCGCCCCGAUCCAUUUUUACAAGGUUGGCCUCGGAUCAGGUGGGGAUACCCGCUGAACUUAA
This 200-nucleotide unclassified non-coding RNA is filed under the name soil metagenome. RNAcentral's name for it is "partial contains internal transcribed spacer 2 and large subunit ribosomal RNA". The record is from RNAcentral.